UUAAGUUAAUAAGGGCGCACGGUGGAUGCCUUGGCACUAGGAGCCGACGAAGGACGUGACAAACGACGAUAUGCCUUGGGUAGCUGUAAGUAAGCGAUGAUCCAGGGAUUUCCGAAUGGGGGAACCCAACAGGUAAUACCUGUUACCUACAUCUGUUAAGGAUGUGAGGAGGAAGACGCAGUGAACUGAAACAUCUAAGUAGCUGCAGGAAGAGAAAGCAAAAGCGAUUGCCUUAGUAGCGGCGAGCGAAACGGCAGAAGGGCAAACCGAAGAGUUUACUCUUCGGGGUUGUAGGACUGCAAUGUGGACUCAAAGAUUAUAGAAGAAUGAUUUGGGAAGAUCAGCCAAAGAGAGUAAUAGCCUCGUAUUUAAAAUAGUCUUUGUACUUAGCAGUAUCCUGAGUACGGCGGGACACGUGAAAUCCCGUCGGAAUCUGGGAGGACCAUCUCCCAACCCUAAAUACUCCCUAGUGACCGAUAGUGAACCAGUACCGUGAGGGAAAGGUGAAAAGCACCCCGGGAGGGGAGUGAAAUAGAACCUGAAACCGUGUGCCUACAACAAGUUCGAGCCCGUUAAUGGGUGAGAGCGUGCCUUUUGUAGAAUGAACCGGCGAGUUACGUUAUGAUGCGAGGUUAAGUUGAAGAGACGGAGCCGUAGGGAAACCGAGUCUGAAUAGGGCGCCUUAGUAUCAUGACGUAGACCCGAAACCAUGUGACCUACCCAUGAGCAGGUUGAAGGUGCGGUAAGACGCACUGGAGGACCGAACCAGGGCACGUUGAAAAGUGCUUGGAUGACUUGUGGGUAGCGGAGAAAUUCCAAACGAACUUGGAGAUAGCUGGUUCUCUCCGAAAUAGCUUUAGGGCUAGCGUCGACAUUAGAGAUUCUUGGAGGUAGAGCACUGUUUGGGUGAGGGGUCCAUCCCGGAUUACCAAUCUCAGAUAAACUCCGAAUGCCAAUGAAUUAUGGUCGGCAGUCAGACUGCGAGUGCUAAGAUCCGUAGUCGAAAGGGAAACAGCCCAGACCACCAGCUAAGGUCCCAAAAUAAUUGUUAAGUGGAAAAGGAUGUGGGGUUGCACAGACAACUAGGAUGUUAGCUUAGAAGCAGCUAUUCAUUCAAAGAGUGCGUAAUAGCUCACUAGUCGAGUGACCCUGCGCCGAAAAUGUACCGGGGCUAAAACAAUUUACCGAAGCUGUGGAUACCUUUAUAGGUAUGGUAGGAGAGCGUUCUAUGUGUGAUGAAGGUAUACCGUGAGGAGUGCUGGAACGCAUAGAAGUGAGAAUGCCGGUAUGAGUAGCGAAAGACAGGUGAGAAUCCUGUCCACCGUAAGACUAAGGUUUCCAGGGGAAGGCUCGUCCGCCCUGGGUUAGUCGGGACCUAAGGAGAGACCGAAAGGUGUAUCCGAUGGACAACAGGUUGAUAUUCCUGUACUAGAGUAUGUAGUGAUGGAGGGACGCAGUAGGCUAACUAAAGCAGACGAUUGGAAGAGUCUGUCUAAGCAGUGAGGUGUGAAUUGAGUCAAAUGCUUAAUUCUAUAACAUUGAGCUGUGAUGGGGAGCGAAGUUUAGUAGCGAAGUUAGUGACGUCACACUGCCAAGAAAAGCUUCUAGCGUUUAAACAUACUCUACCCGUACCGCAAACCGACACAGGUAGUCGAGGCGAGUAGCCUCAGGUGAGCGAGAGAACUCUCGUUAAGGAACUCGGCAAAAUGACCCCGUAACUUCGGGAGAAGGGGUGCUGACUUUAAGUCAGCCGCAGUGAAUAGGCCCAAGCAACUGUUUAUCAAAAACACAGCUCUCUGCUAAAUCGUAAGAUGAUGUAUAGGGGGUGACGCCUGCCCGGUGCUGGAAGGUUAAGAGGAGUGCUUAGCGUAAGCGAAGGUAUGAAUUGAAGCCCCAGUAAACGGCGGCCGUAACUAUAACGGUCCUAAGGUAGCGAAAUUCCUUGUCGGGUAAGUUCCGACCCGCACGAAAGGCGUAAUGAUUUGGGCACUGUCUCAACGAGAGACUCGGUGAAAUUUUAGUACCUGUGAAGAUGCAGGUUACCCGCGACAGGACGGAAAGACCCCAUGGAGCUUUACUGCAGUUUGAUAUUGAGUGUCUGUACCACAUGUACAGGAUAGGUAGGAGUCUAAGAGAUCGGGACGCCAGUUUCGAAGGAGACGCUGUUGGGAUACUACCCUUGUGUUAUGGCCACUCUAACCCAGAUAGGUGAUCCCUAUCGGAGACAGUGUCUGACGGGCAGUUUGACUGGGGCGGUCGCCUCCUAAAAGGUAACGGAGGCGCCCAAAGGUUCCCUCAGAAUGGUUGGAAAUCAUUCGCAGAGUGUAAAGGUAUAAGGGAGCUUGACUGCGAGAGCUACAACUCGAGCAGGGACGAAAGUCGGGCUUAGUGAUCCGGUGGUUCCGUAUGGAAGGGCCAUCGCUCAACGGAUAAAAGCUACCCUGGGGAUAACAGGCUUAUCUCCCCCAAGAGUUCACAUCGACGGGGAGGUUUGGCACCUCGAUGUCGGCUCGUCGCAUCCUGGGGCUGUAGUCGGUCCCAAGGGUUGGGCUGUUCGCCCAUUAAAGCGGCACGCGAGCUGGGUUCAGAACGUCGUGAGACAGUUCGGUCCCUAUCCGUCGCGGGCGUAGGAAAUUUGAGAGGAUCUGCUCCUAGUACGAGAGGACCAGAGUGGACUUACCGCUGGUGUACCAGUUGUCUUGCCAAAGGCAUCGCUGGGUAGCUAUGUAGGGAAGGGAUAAACGCUGAAAGCAUCUAAGUGUGAAACCCACCUCAAGAUGAGAUUUCCCAUGAUUAUAUAUCAGUAAGAGCCCUGAGAGAUGAUCAGGUAGAUAGGUUAGAAGUGGAAGUGUGGCGACACAUGUAGCGGACUAAUACUAAUAGCUCGAGGACUUAUCCNA
This 2900-nucleotide ribosomal RNA is filed under the name Streptococcus pneumoniae. RNAcentral describes it as "23S ribosomal RNA". It matches the Rfam family "Bacterial large subunit ribosomal RNA". The record is from RNAcentral. Lineage: Bacteria; Bacillati; Bacillota; Bacilli; Lactobacillales; Streptococcaceae.